GUGUCAGCAGCCGCGGUAAUACGGAGGUGGCAAGCGUUGCUCGGAUUUACUGGGUGUAAAGGGCGUGUAGGCGGCUCUGUAAGCCCUGUCUUAAAGGCACCGGCUCAACCGAUGUUUUCGACAGGGGACUGCAAAGCUUGAGGAUGGAAGAGGUGAGCGGAACUCCCGGUGUAAGGGUGAAAUCUGUAGAUAUCGGGAAGAACACCAGUGGCGAAGGCGGCUCACUAGGCCAUUUCUGACGCUGAGAUGCGAAAGCUAGGGGAGCAAACAGGAUUAGAAACCCGCGUAGUCC
This 292-nucleotide ribosomal RNA is filed under the name uncultured bacterium. RNAcentral's name for it is "partial 16S ribosomal RNA". It matches the Rfam family "Bacterial small subunit ribosomal RNA", at positions 505 to 796 of the family's 1533-position model. The record is from RNAcentral.